UUCUAAACUUUAGUACUUGGCUCAGAAGGAAGUCACAACACCCGUUCGUUUAUUUAUUUUUUGUUCCAGUGAUCAGCCUACAGGAAAUGCUAUUGCCCUUGUCCUUAGGCUGACUACCAACCUGACUCACUAACAUGAAACAUUUGUGCUGUGCCUGUGAUGUCUGAGAUCUAAGUUAUACUGAGCUAGAGAAUGUCGUAUAGACACUUUUUUUGUUUUUUUUUUUCGAGACAGGGUUUCUCUGUAUAGUCCAGGCUGUCCUGGAACUCACUUUGUAGACCAGGCUGGCCUCAAACUCAGAAAUCCGCCUGCCUCUGCCUCCCGAGUGCUGGGACUAAAGGCGUGCGCCACCACGCCCGGCUGUAUAGACAGUCUUUAACUGUCGAAAGUUACCUACCACGCGGUCAGGAAGGGAUCCGUGUUCCACCUCUGCCACUGACCUGCCCAGCCUGGGAAGGUUGAAUCUGUAAACAUGGUUAUCCAGCCAAGCUGGGAGAAGCUUAGAGACCAGUUCUCCAGGUUAAAGUACUUUUUAACAAUACACACCUUUAUACAUUGAGCUGCAAUCUGAUUUCUUUGAACUUUAAAUACUUUGUGCGGUAUAAAUAGAUUUAAUGUAUUAAACAUAUUAAAUAAUUACAAAUAAAAGAUUUAAAAAUACUGGUUUUUCCUGUAUUGUCACUGUUAGAAAUCCUUCAAGCACUCCUGCCUCCCUAUCCUGUGCAUUCCAGAGCUCUGUGCAGUUGCCCAGGCAUUGGCAUGGCUCCUGGCAUGGGUUACUCCUCCUCUGUGUUUCCCCUGGACUCAUGACUGCCCAGCUGAAAAUUGUUUCUCAGCCUCCCUGCAGGUGUGGCCCCAUGACAGUUCCAGGCAGUGAGAUGGAAGACUUCUAGCUUGAAGCUUACACAGAGGCAUGGUGUGCAUGCCCCUGAAAGUUCCCUGGCUUGCUGGUCAGGAUGUCUGUGAGAGCCUCAGGCGUCUCCUGGCAUUUCAGGAGAGGGUGGAUGGUCUACUAGUCAAGAACAGCUAUCUUUGACCAGAUACUUUGGAGUGAAAUAAAUGAAGUGUUAUUUAAUACUGUUUUAACAUCUAAUUGGUGUAAUGUAUGUAACACACUAAUGCUGUAAGUUUCCUGUGUAUCUCACGUUCGCACUAUGCAGGUCUUUUCACUUAUGUACCUCUGCUUUCGCUGACCUGCUGAUCUCCAAACCCAUCACAGGCUCACUUUCCUCAGGCUUGCCCACAGCAACUAGUUUCCAUCUUGGUACAUUGUUUUAAAAUUAGUCUUGUUUCAUAAAAUAACCUUACUUUAAUUUGAAUUUCCCUGAUUUAACACCAGACAGAAUACCAUAUUCACCUAGUUUCCUCAGUAUAAAUGAAAGACAGUUAUGAAAGAGGCAAGAACAAAAAGCCAUUCUGGGCUAGUCCAUCAUCCGCCACCACUCCAAAUGCCAGCUUCGACUCAUCGUAGUGCACUGCAAGGCUGACGUCAGACCCCGUGUCUGUCUGUUCCCUCACACUCUGCACGCUGACGUUUGUCACCUGUGGGAAAGUCCAUUUUCCUUUUUAUCUCGUCCUCUGUGUCUUAUUUUUGUGCAUUUCCUGUUCCAAGCAAAUGAUAGAAUUAGCUUAUUAGAUUCCACUGAAGUGUUGCUCUUUUGGCCGGGAUUGCAUUAGUUUGCCCAUUAAUUGGAAGAUAAUAGACUUCUUUAUAAUUAAUAUAAUUUUCCCAUUAGUAUUAUGAGAGGCCUAAUUUUAUUGCUUGGGUAACAUUCCUCAUAAGGGUUCAGUUUUAUAUUAGCUUCGUUCUAGAUGUUUUACAGAAUUUUUGUUUAGGAUUUUAAAGGAUCUUUUACUUUCACAUAAAAAAAAAAGUGGAGAUGCUUGACUCAUUCCUGUGUCACCUCUGUGUUGCUUAUCACUGGAAGCGUUUACAUUCAAAGCUGCUACAUUCAGUUUUUUAAUAUCCUAUGGUCAUGAUGCAAUCUUGUGAAUGGCCUUGUUAGUUACAAUGUGGUUUGGAUGGGAAGUGUCCCACCUGUAGACUCACGUCUUUGAACAUGUGGUUCCUAGCUCAUGAUGCCCUUUUGGACCUCCUGAUGGCUGCUAUGACAGACUGUGUCACCUGUAAUGUGAGCCAAAAAUGAACCCUUCUUUCCUUAGGUUCUUUUGUCUGGGUAUUUUGUCAGCAAUAAGGUAAAUGACUAAAUGUAAUUAUACAGAAAUAGAUAUUUUCCUAACAUUUGAAAACUGUAGAUCAUUCUCUCCUUCCUGAUUUAUACAUUUAUAAAGCCACCAAUCCACCAUUAUGUCCCAUGUCCAUAUAAUCAUGGAAAUGUGCCUGAACUCUAUAUUUUGUUAACUUUGUCCAUUCAUCUUUACCAAUAAACCAUUUUUAAUCAUGUAGGUUUCUAAUUGACUGUCAAAAAUUGUAGAGCAACUCUUGGAUCUUUGUUAUAUCUUGGAUAUAUUAGAUCAUCUUGUCACAUUGGGAUUUUGUGACUACAAUGAAUGAGCAGACUUGUUGAGGAUUAUUUAUGAUGCUGGGUCCCGUGCAUCUCUGAAUAAGCCAUAGCUAUGUAUUUUUAUUACAUGUUUAUAAAGAAAUAAUUGUGCUAUAUCUCGCAUUUUGUAAUAGACAACUUACGUAUGCAUAGAUAGAAAAUGUGUAUCAUGCAAGCAAUUCUAUCAAAUCUUGGUGAGAACAGUGAGUCUGAUGUACAACUUACGCUUAGUCCCAACCUUGAUUUUGUACCUGUAGUAAAGGACACCUUCUGAAAACCCACGUGUUCUCAUUUAUACAGGCUCGUCUCCUGCUUCUCUCUACGUUGGCUUUGCUAACUGAUGUUAUAUGUAUCAUCUAGCAACUUUGCUGAACUUGCACUCUGAUCUGUAAAUUGUCCUAUAAUACUUGGAUCAGCUGUAAUAGUAACGAUUGUGUUUCACGUGUUCCAAUAUGCACACGCUCUGAUACGGAGUAGAAAUGAUUACAGGUGGCAUAGUACUUCGCCAUCUCUCUUUCCUGCCAUCGAGGAGAAGCUCUAACACCUACAGUUGCUGUUUCCUAAUAGAUGGCUUAGUUGGGUUAAGGGAAUAUUCUUUCCAGUUUUAAAUCCACUGCUGGAUUUCAUUAAAUGUUUCUCCUGCUUUU
This 3151-nucleotide long non-coding RNA is filed under the name Mus musculus (house mouse). Its description in RNAcentral is "long non-coding RNA chr14:32577838-32580989". The record is from RNAcentral. Lineage: Eukaryota; Metazoa; Chordata; Mammalia; Rodentia; Muridae.